This 185-nucleotide non-coding RNA is filed under the name Gammaproteobacteria bacterium. Its description in RNAcentral is "6S RNA". It matches the Rfam family "6S / SsrS RNA". Rfam says of the family: E. coli 6S RNA was the first non coding RNA to be sequenced, but its function was unknown until recently. Lineage: Bacteria; Pseudomonadati; Pseudomonadota; Gammaproteobacteria. The record is from RNAcentral.
UGUCUACUGUGGUAUUCGAUCAACGGGACUCGAUCCUUGGUCCUUAAAUCACGACCUCGGGGGCCGAUCUCAUUGUGGGCGUGCGCAGGUCCGUUUAUCGGAAAGCCUAAACCCGCAAUCCAGGCUCCCUCCCUUGAACUUUUCGGUUCGGGGACGCAGACCCGACCGAUAUUUUCGGUAGGCAC